UAAUAUCGUCGCUACUAUUUAAUAUUCUUGUAGUACCUCUUGCAUAUAUUAUGUAAUCUAUAUCUGUUUCUUGUUAUGAUAUAACAUCUUACUUGGCAUUUUUUUGGGUUAAAAAAUAAAAAAGACAAACAUUCUAAAUAUUACUUCGCUAUAUCCAUCUCCCUUGAUCAGGUCACAUGGACUUGAUGAAUUGCACUAAUUUCCUCAAACCAUGGUAGGCAUUCCUGCCCAAGUUAUAUUUUAGUCUAAUCUGUAGAGAAAUUUCCCCUCA
Molecule: long non-coding RNA, 271 nt
Filed under: Elaeis guineensis (African oil palm)
Lineage: Eukaryota; Viridiplantae; Streptophyta; Magnoliopsida; Arecales; Arecaceae
Description: long non-coding RNA (EGUI_LNC014078)
Source: RNAcentral